ACCUGACCCAGCAACGCCGCGUGAAGGAUGAAAUCCCUCGGGAUGUAAACUUCGCAAGAACGGGAAGAAUAAGCCGGUGUCAACACCACCGGUGAUGACGGUACUGUUUGUAAGCUCCGGCUAACUCCGUGCCAGCAGCCGCGGUAAUACGGGGGGAGCAAGCGUUGUUCGGAUUUACUGGGCGUAAAGGGCGCGUAGGCGGCCUCUGCAAGUCGACUGUGAAAUCUCCGGGCUUAACCCGGAACGGUCAGCCGAUACUGCAGGGCUAGAGUGCAGAAGGGGCAACUGGAAUUCUCGGUGUAGCGGUGAAAUGCGUAGAUAUCGAGAGGAACACCUGCGGCGAAGGCGGGUUGCUGGGCUGACACUGACGCUGAGGCGCGAAAGCCAGGGGAGCGAACGGGAUUAGAUACCCCGGUAGUCCUAGCCUUAAACGAUGAAUGCUUGGUGUCUGGGGUUUUAUAGUCCCCGGGUGCCGUCGCUAACGCUUUAAGCAUUCCGCCUGGGGAGUACGGUCGCAAGACUG
This 523-nucleotide ribosomal RNA is filed under the name uncultured Acidobacteriota bacterium. Its description in RNAcentral is "bacterial SSU rRNA". It matches the Rfam family "Bacterial small subunit ribosomal RNA", at positions 381 to 896 of the family's 1533-position model. The record is from RNAcentral. Lineage: Bacteria; Pseudomonadati; Acidobacteriota.